UGGGGAAUAUUGCGCAAUGGACGAAAGUCUGACGCAGCAAUGCCGCGUGGGCGAUGAAGGCCCUUGGGUCGUAAAGCCCUGUCGGAGGGGACGAAACCACCGGGGAGGAAAUGCCUCGGUAUUGACGGUACCCUCGAAGGAAGCACCGGCUAACUCCGUGCCAGCAGCCGCGGUAAUACGGGGGGUGCAAGCGUUGUUCGGAAUCACUGGGCGUAAAGCGCGUGUAGGCGGAUUGUUAAGUCAGAUGUGAAAGCCCGCGGCUUAACUGCGGAAGUGCAUUUGAAACUGGCAGUCUAGAGUAUGGAAGAGGGUAGGGGAAUUCCCGGUGUAGAGGUGAAAUUCGUAGAUAUCGGGAGGAAUACCGGUGGCGAAGGCGCCUGCCUGGGCCAAUACUGACGCUGAGACGCGAAAGCGUGGGUAGCAAACAGG
Molecule: ribosomal RNA, 429 nt
Filed under: uncultured bacterium
Lineage: Bacteria
Description: bacterial SSU rRNA
Rfam family: Bacterial small subunit ribosomal RNA
Source: RNAcentral